ACGGAGGGUGCAAGCGUUAUCCGGAAUCAUUGGGUUUAAAGGGUCCGCAGGCGGAUGUAUAAGUCAGUGGUGAAAGCCUACAGCUUAACUGUAGAACUGCCAUUGAUACUGUACGUCUUGAAUUCGGUCGAAGUGGGCGGAAUGUGUAGUGUAGCGGUGAAAUGCUUAGAUAUUACACAGAACACCGAUAGCGAAGGCAGCUCACUAGGCCUGAAUUGACGCUCAUGGACGAAAGCGUGGGGAGCAAACAGG
RNAcentral lists this ribosomal RNA (252 nucleotides) under uncultured bacterium. RNAcentral's name for it is "partial 16S ribosomal RNA". It matches the Rfam family "Bacterial small subunit ribosomal RNA", at positions 525 to 776 of the family's 1533-position model. The record is from RNAcentral.